UGCCAGCAGCCGCGGUAAUACAUAGGGGUCAAGCGUUGUCCGGAAUUACUGGGCGUAAAGCGUACGUAGGCGGAUUAAUAAGUUAGAGGUGAAAUCCCAGGGCUCAACCCUGGAACUGCCUUUAAAACUGUUAGUCUUGAGAUCGAGAGAGGUGAGUGGAAUUCCAAGUGUAGAGGUGAGAUUCGUAGAUAUUUGGAGGAACACCAGUGGCGAAGGCGGCUCACUGGCUCGAUACUGACGUUGAGGUACGAAAGUGUGGGGAGCAAACAGGAUUAGAUA
RNAcentral lists this ribosomal RNA (279 nucleotides) under uncultured bacterium. Its description in RNAcentral is "partial 16S ribosomal RNA". It matches the Rfam family "Bacterial small subunit ribosomal RNA", at positions 506 to 784 of the family's 1533-position model. The record is from RNAcentral.